GACGUAGGGGGCAAGCGUUGUCCGGAAUCAUUGGGCGUAAAGCGCUCGUAGGUGGAUCGGUAAGUCUGCAAAGAAAGACCCGGGCUCAACUCGGGGAACGGUGUGGAUACUACCGAUCUUGAGGCAAUCAGAGGAUGAUGGAAUUCCCCGGUGUAGCGGUGAAAAUGCGUAGAUAUCGGGGAGGAACACCAGUGGCGAAGGCGAUCAUCUGGGGUUGUUCUGACACUGAGGAGCGAAAGCUAGGGGAGCAAACGGG
RNAcentral lists this ribosomal RNA (256 nucleotides) under uncultured bacterium. Its description in RNAcentral is "partial 16S ribosomal RNA". It matches the Rfam family "Bacterial small subunit ribosomal RNA", at positions 524 to 776 of the family's 1533-position model. The record is from RNAcentral.